GAUGAACGCUGGCGGCGUGCCUAAUACAUGCAAGUCGAACGAAACUUCUUUAUCACCGAGUGCUUGCGCUCACCGAUAAAGAGUUGAGUGGCGAACGGGUGAGUAACACGUGGGCAACCUGCCCAAAAGAGGGGGAUAACACUUGGAAACAGGUGCUAAUACCGCAUAACCAUAGUUACCACAUGGUAACUAUGUAAAAGGUGGCUAUACUACCGCUUUUGGAUGGGCCCGCGGCGCAUUAGCUAGUUGGUAGGGUAAAGGCUUACCAAGGCAAUGAUGCGUAGCCGAAUUGAGAGGUUGAUCGGCCACAUUGGGACUGAGACACGGCCCAGACUCCUACGGGAGGCAGCAGUAGGGAAUCUUCCACAAUGGGCGAAAGCCUGAUGGAGCAACGCCGCGUGGGUGAAGAAGGUCUUCGGAUCGUAAAACCCUGUUGUUAGAGAAGAAAGUGCGUGAGAGUAACUGUUCACGUUUCGACGGUAUCUAACCAGAAAGCCACGGCUAACUACGUG
RNAcentral lists this ribosomal RNA (512 nucleotides) under uncultured bacterium. RNAcentral describes it as "partial 16S ribosomal RNA". It matches the Rfam family "Bacterial small subunit ribosomal RNA", at positions 28 to 507 of the family's 1533-position model. The record is from RNAcentral.